GGGGCUGAAAGGAUUUCUACAUAUUGAUAUUUUAUUUAUUUUUUAUUUAACAAAUCAAAUUUAUUAAUUUUUUAUAUCUUAAAGUUAGUUAUCUAUCUAACUAUAUUAAAAAUUAGUAAAAAAAAUGGUAAUUUAAUUGCAAAACAUAAUAUUAUAUCUUUUUCCAAAAAUUUAUUGUUAGUAUAAAUUGGUGAGAUUUUAAAUUUUAUUUUCUUUCUUUUAUUUAUUGGUUUAUUUAAAGAAUGCUCUAAUUGUAAAUUAUAAUUUUAGUUUCUAUUAUCAUUUUUUAUUUAAUUAGAAAAGUUGAAACUAUGUGAAUCCAAAAGUUUAUUGAUGAUGAUUUAGUUAAGUGCUUAUUAAUUAAGUAUUUUAUCAAUAUGGACGUGGGUUCAAAUCCCACCAGUUCCA
RNAcentral lists this non-coding RNA (408 nucleotides) under Echinothamnion sp. Lineage: Eukaryota; Rhodophyta; Florideophyceae; Ceramiales; Rhodomelaceae. The record is from RNAcentral.